RNAcentral lists this ribosomal RNA (253 nucleotides) under uncultured bacterium. RNAcentral's name for it is "partial 16S ribosomal RNA". It matches the Rfam family "Bacterial small subunit ribosomal RNA", at positions 524 to 776 of the family's 1533-position model. The record is from RNAcentral.
UACGGAGGAGGCAAGCGUUAUCCGGAAUUAUUGGGCGUAAAGCGUCCGCAGGUGGCACCUCAAGUCUGCUGUCAAAGACCGGGGCUUAAUCCCAGAAAGGCAGUGGAAACUGAAGUGCUAGAGUGCAGUAGGGGUAGAGGGAAUUCCCGGUGUAGCGGUGAAAUGCGUAGAGAUCGGGAAGAACAUCGGUGGCGAAAGCGCUCUGCUGGACUGCAACUGACACUCAGGGACGAAAGCUAGGGGAGCGAAUGGG